Long non-coding RNA from Ruditapes philippinarum (Manila clam), 249 nucleotides. RefSeq lists it as uncharacterized. The record is from RefSeq and is a predicted model, not a curated record. Lineage: Eukaryota; Metazoa; Mollusca; Bivalvia; Venerida; Veneridae. The transcript has 3 exons.
AGACAGUUUUGAAAUUGAAGUGGAUAUUUGAGGUGUGUGAUUACAGACUUGUGUGUGAGGUUUUGAUUGUGGCGCAGUCAGUUGUUUGCCGAGAAGCCUUGAAAACUGUGUAUUGCCCCCUUAAGAGCAAAAUUUGAUUUUUUGUGUGUGAUUACAGACUUGUGUGUGAGGUUUUGAUUGUGGCGCAGUCAGUUGUUUGCCGAGAAGCCUUGAAAACUGUGUAUUGCCCCCUGAAUGAUGAAAUGUUGA